UACGAAUGGUGCUAGCGUUGUUCGGAAUUACUGGGCGUAAAGGGCGCGUAGGCGGCUUGGCAAGUUGGGUGUGAAAGCCCAGGGCUCAACCCUGGAAUUGCACUCAAGACUGCCUUGCUUGAAUUCGGUAGAGGUUGGUGGAAUUCCCAGUGUAGAGGUGAAAUUCGUAGAGAUUGGGAAGAACACCCGUGGCGAAGGCGGCCAACUGGACCGACAUUGACGCUGAGGCGCGAAAGCCAGGGGAGCAAACGGG
This 253-nucleotide ribosomal RNA is filed under the name uncultured bacterium. RNAcentral's name for it is "partial 16S ribosomal RNA". It matches the Rfam family "Bacterial small subunit ribosomal RNA", at positions 524 to 776 of the family's 1533-position model. The record is from RNAcentral.